Molecule: ribosomal RNA, 152 nt
Filed under: Phlegmacium beugii
Lineage: Eukaryota; Fungi; Basidiomycota; Agaricomycetes; Agaricales; Cortinariaceae
Description: Cortinarius beugii 5.8S ribosomal RNA
Rfam family: 5.8S ribosomal RNA
About the family: 5.8S ribosomal RNA (5.8S rRNA) is a component of the large subunit of the eukaryotic ribosome.
Source: RNAcentral
AACUUUCAGCAACGGAUCUCUUGGCUCUCGCUUCGAUGAAGAACGCAGCGAAAUGCGAUAAGUAAUGUGAAUUGCAGAAUUCAGUGAAUCAUCGAAUCUUUGAACGCACCUUGCGCUCCUUGGUAUUCCGAGGAGCAUGCCUGUUUGAGUGU